AGACCGCCAGCUAAGGUCCCAAAGUCAUGGUUAAGUGGGAAACGAUGUGGGAAGGCCCAGACAGCCAGGAUGUUGGCUUAGAAGCAGCCAUCAUUUAAAGAAAGCGUAAUAGCUCACUGGUCGAGUCGGCCUGCGCGGAAGAUGUAACGGGGCUAAACCAUGCACCGAAGCUGCGGCAGCGACACUGUGUGUUGUUGGGUAGGGGAGCGUUCUGUAAGCCUGUGAAGGUGUGUCGUGAGGCAUGCUGGAGGUAUCAGAAGUGCGAAUGCUGACAUAAGUAACGAUAAAGCGGGUGAAAAGCCCGCUCGCCGGAAGACCAAGGGUUCCUGUCCAACGUUAAUCGGGGCAGGGUGAGUCGACCCCUAAGGCGAGGCCGAAAGGCGUAGUCGAUGGGAAACGGGUUAAUAUUCCCGUACUUGGUGUUACUGCGAAGGGGGGACGGAGAAGGCUAUGUUGGCCGGGCGACGGUUGUCCCGGUUUAAGCGUGUAGGUGUGUGUUCCAGGUAAAUCCGGUUCACUUUAACACUGAGGCGUGACGACGAGGCACUACGGUGCUGAAGCAACAAAUGCCCUGCUUCCAGGAAAAGCCUCUAAGCAUCAGGUAACAUCAAAUCGUACCCCAAACCGACACAGGUGGUCAGGUAGAGAAUACCAAGGCGCUUGAGAGAACUCGGGUGAAGGAACUAGGCAAAAUGGUGCCGUAACUUCGGGAGAAGGCACGCUGACACGUAGGUGAAGUGAUUUACUCAUGGAGCUGAAGUCAGUCGAAGAUACCAGCUGGCUGCAACUGUUUAUUAAAAACACAGCACUGUGCAAACACGAAAGUGGACGUAUACGGUGUGACGCCUGCCCGGUGCCGGAAGGUUAAUUGAUGGGGUCAGCGCAAGCGAAGCUCCUGAUCGAAGCCCCGGUAAACGGCGGCCGUAACUAUAACGGUCCUAAGGUAGCGAAAUUCCUUGUCGGGUAAGUUCCGACCUGCACGAAUGGCGUAAUGAUGGCCAGGCUGUCUCCACCCGAGACUCAGUGAAAUUGAACUCGCUGUGAAGAUGCAGUGUACCCGCGGCAAGACGGAAAGACCCCGUGAACCUUUACUAUAGCUUGACACUGAACAUUGAGCCUUGAUGUGUAGGAUAGGUGGGAGGCUUUGAAGUGUGGACGCCAGUCUGCAUGGAGCCGACCUUGAAAUACCACCCUUUAAUGUUUGAUGUUCUAACGUGGACCCGUUACCCGGGUUGCGGACAGUGUCUGGUGGGUAGUUUGACUGGGGCGGUCUCCUCC
RNAcentral lists this ribosomal RNA (1278 nucleotides) under Salmonella enterica. Its description in RNAcentral is "partial 23S ribosomal RNA". It matches the Rfam family "Bacterial large subunit ribosomal RNA", at positions 1029 to 2290 of the family's 2925-position model. The record is from RNAcentral. Lineage: Bacteria; Pseudomonadati; Pseudomonadota; Gammaproteobacteria; Enterobacterales; Enterobacteriaceae.